UUUGACCGGUUUGAAUGGUGUCACGAAAGUUCUUCUGUUUUAAAAAAACACUCAAGGAAAUUGAAUUUGUAGUGAAGAUGCUACAUUAAAAUUGUUAGACGAGAAGUCCCCAUGGAGCUUUACUGAAAGCCUAAAAAAAAUUUUUUAUUUAUUUAUAGGUUAGACAGUUUUGUUGGGGUGAUAGUUUUUUAAAAAGUAACGAAAACGAACUAUGACGCAUGUUUCACUCUGAAAACUUGAAGAGACAUUUGGGGUGUGUUUUAUGAUCUAUUGUUUUGAAUGAAAAAGAUAAUGAAAGCAGAUAAAAG
This 308-nucleotide ribosomal RNA is filed under the name Desmophyllum dianthus. RNAcentral describes it as "partial 16S ribosomal RNA". It matches the Rfam family "Bacterial large subunit ribosomal RNA", at positions 1982 to 2462 of the family's 2925-position model. Lineage: Eukaryota; Metazoa; Cnidaria; Anthozoa; Scleractinia; Caryophylliidae. The record is from RNAcentral.